This 253-nucleotide ribosomal RNA is filed under the name uncultured bacterium. Its description in RNAcentral is "partial 16S ribosomal RNA". It matches the Rfam family "Bacterial small subunit ribosomal RNA", at positions 524 to 776 of the family's 1533-position model. The record is from RNAcentral.
UACGUAGGGUGCGAGCGUUGUCCGGAAUUACUGGGCGUAAAGAGCUCGUAGGCGGUUUGUCGCGUCGUUCGUGAAAACUCACAGCUUAACUGUGGGCGUGCGGGCGAUACGGGCAGACUGGAGUACUGCAGGGGAGACUGGAAUUCCUGGUGUAGCGGUGGAAUGCGCAGAUAUCAGGAGGAACACCGGUGGCGAAGGCGGGUCUCUGGGCAGUAACUGACGCUGAGGAGCGAAAGCGUGGGGAGCGAACAGG